Long non-coding RNA from Calypte anna (Anna's hummingbird), 556 nucleotides. RefSeq lists it as uncharacterized. The transcript has 3 exons. Lineage: Eukaryota; Metazoa; Chordata; Aves; Apodiformes; Trochilidae. The record is from RefSeq and is a predicted model, not a curated record.
GCCCCUUGGGACUGUGAGGCUGCCUUUUGAACGCCGGCUGGGACUGGAAGCACACCAAUGCACAAACUACAGAUUGUGAAUGUCAUCAUCCUAUGAGAUCCUGCCCAAAACAAACCGUCAUCAAAUCUCUGCUCCACAUGAUGCUGACAUAAAACCAAACAAACCUGACUGCGCUUUUGAAAGGAGAGCUGGAAGCUGAAAAGCAACAAAACACAAAGGAGUUCAGCUGGAAUCGCCUGUAUGUUUAUGGGAGCAUCUAUUGAGGUUCUUACACAGAGAUGAGCCAUGAUCUGUACCUCCCGUGGUAGUCUCCAUGGUGUUGAUGGAGGGAGAUUGAAUGCUUGAAUAUACAGAACUUGCAAAAAGAAGAUGAAUCAUUUGCUGGAGUCAAAUUGGGUAGUUUUAAAAUCUUUUAAAUAUCUAGAGACUAGAUUGACACGUGUGUAUCUGUGAUGUUAACUUUUUGUGGGUGGUCUCUUUGCUCAAGUAUUUAUGUGAACACAUUUGAUUUGUUGCUUAUAGAAGAGGGGGUUUUAUGAGGGACAGAGUUAUAUUU